RNAcentral lists this ribosomal RNA (406 nucleotides) under uncultured bacterium. RNAcentral describes it as "partial 16S ribosomal RNA". It matches the Rfam family "Bacterial small subunit ribosomal RNA", at positions 30 to 526 of the family's 1533-position model. The record is from RNAcentral.
AUUGAACGCUGGCGGUAGGCCUAACACAUGCAAGUCGAACGAGUGGCGGACGGGUGAGUAAUGUCUCGGAAACUGCCUGAUGGAGGGGGAUAACAACUGGAAACGGUAGCUCAUACCGCAUACCAUCGGAUGUGCCCAGAUGGGAUUCGCUUGUUGGUGGGGUAACGGCUCACCAAGGCGACGAUCCCUAGCUGGUCUGAGAGGAUGACCAGCCACACUGGAACUGAGACACGGUCCAGACUCCUACGGGAGGCAGCAGUGGGGAAUAGUGGACAAUGGGCGAAAGCCUGAUGCAGCCAUGCCGCGUGUGUGAAGAAGGCCUUCGGGUUGUAAAGCACUUUCAGCGGGGAGGCGUUACCCGCAGAAGAAGCACCGGCUAACUCCGUGCCAGCAGCCGCGGUAAUAC